Molecule: long non-coding RNA, 303 nt
Organism: Sorghum bicolor (sorghum)
Lineage: Eukaryota; Viridiplantae; Streptophyta; Magnoliopsida; Poales; Poaceae
Exons: 2
Source: RefSeq, a predicted model, not a curated record
CUCUGAUGGCGUCUGCAUUAUUGCGUUGCGUCCACAAACUAAUUCUGCUUUUUGGCCAUGGGAAUGAUGGCCUGGGUGCACCAAAAAUUCAGCAGGCGGUUACAACGGCCCGUGCGUACGUGUGCGUGGCAGACAUGACUGGCCGGCAGUCCCAGCAUUCAGGGGAAGGGGCUGUCGUGCCGUGGGGACCGGCGGAAUCCAAGAAUUUCCCAGGAAAUUCGUUACGAAAUUCCGGUCAAUCAGAUAAAAUUGUAUAAUUUAUGAUGCUAUAUACGUACAAUAUUGCAAAAAAGUAUAUUUCUA